UACGUAGGGGGCAAGCGUUGUCCGGACUUAUUGGGCGUAAAGAGCGUGUAGGCGGUUUGGUAGGUCCGUUGUGAAAACUCGAGGCUCAACCUCGAGACGCCGGCGGAAACCAUCAGGCUAGAGUCCGGAAGAGGAGAGUGGAAUUCCUGGUGUAGCGGUGAAAUGCGCAGAUAUCAGGAAGAACACCCGUGGCUAAGGCGGCUCUCUAGUACGGUACUGACGCUGAGACGCGAAAGCGUGGGGAGCGAACAGG
This 253-nucleotide ribosomal RNA is filed under the name uncultured bacterium. RNAcentral's name for it is "partial 16S ribosomal RNA". It matches the Rfam family "Bacterial small subunit ribosomal RNA", at positions 524 to 776 of the family's 1533-position model. The record is from RNAcentral.